This is a non-coding RNA of Punica granatum (pomegranate), 108 nucleotides long. NCBI's taxonomy places the organism in Eukaryota, Viridiplantae, Streptophyta, Magnoliopsida, Myrtales, Lythraceae. The record is from Rfam.
GAUGAGAUGAUUGAUUAUUUCCUCUAAUGAUCGCAGCUGAUUAUACAGUGCUAAAUAUUACAUUACAUUCCCCUUUGUCGAGGAAUCAAAGCCAGUGGUGUGCUGAUC